Molecule: long non-coding RNA, 3585 nt
Organism: Vigna unguiculata (cowpea)
Lineage: Eukaryota; Viridiplantae; Streptophyta; Magnoliopsida; Fabales; Fabaceae
Source: RefSeq, a predicted model, not a curated record
UAGAAGCAUUUGCGUCUUUUUCGUUGUGCUUUCUUCUGUGCUAUUUUAAUUUUUCGUCUUUUUUCACUCUUCAGUCCUUCCUUGAUUCUUCAACGGAAGUCUCCUUUUGUUUUCUGUUGUUUAAUAUACUUGCACAACUCAAAAUGUAUUGAGCUGUUUUUCAUUAGUUUUUGACUUGUCAUUGGCUUUUUACCUAACCAUCGCCACCGCCUCCUACAUUUUUCUACAUGCACACACGUGCGUGUAUGUGUGUGGUUGUUUGUGAAGGCUUUUGAUGAACGCCAUUAUCUUAAAACUGCAUGAUUUGUUCUUAAGCUAUGGGAUCUGAGGGCAUUUUCACGCUUUUACCUCAGUUCACCGAUUUUUUUUAUCAUAGAUGCUUGUUCUGUUUGUAUGAGCCUGAUGAUUGAGUAGCACUGUGUAUGCUCUGUGAUAUCAUCCAGUUAGAUUUUCCUUUGCCGUCUUUGUUAUUGUUCGGUGUUUUCUAUAUCUUUUGUACUUUCGUUUCUCGAUGGCUUGCAUUUUGGGAAACCCUAUUAGUUUGACGCCAAAAAUGCCAAUUAAAACCGGUUAGAUGGUUAAAUUUGAAAGGAUUUGUUAAGUAUGAAGUGGAAUGACCUAAAUUUUGAUCUAGGGUUUUCUGGUCUGAAAACACAUUUACUGUUUCAACUGGUUUAAUUGACAUGCGGCUGCCUUUUAUGCUACCCAAUGACUGAUAAAUAAUCUAUUGAACGGCUACAUGGUUUUGUUCGUAACUGGACCUGCACCAUUCUCUUUCUCUUUUUCUCUCUUUCUGUCCCUCUACGUCAGUUUGCGUGCGUUCGUGCGCUCUAUCUCUGAACUCAAUUCAUACACACACACACACACAUAUAUAUAUAUAUAUAUAUAUACAAAUUAGUUUGAGAUGGUGCAAGAAGGCUGUGAACGGAGCCUGUUAUAAAGCUGUAGAUGAUCUGUCUUUAGCUAUGAGAUCUGAGGGUUAUGCGUUCUAUUUGGCAAUACUUGUUUUUCAUUUUCUAAAGCAAAUUUUUUAUUGUUAUUAUUAGACAUGUUAGCAGGCUUACACAAUUUUUGAUUAACAUCUGAAAUGCAUUUGAAAUAAUCAGGAGAAAAGUGCCGAGGAGAUGUAUUUAUGUAAUUUCUUUUGUAAUGAAGAUCUCUUCACCCUGCUCAGUGAUAUCGAAAUGACCAGUGAGCAUUUGAUUUGUUUUGUUCAAAACUGGAUACGUGAUUUUCCUUUUGUGUAUUUGUAGAUGAUUCAUGAGAUUGUGAGAUAGCCAAACUAAUUCUUGAAUUGUAAAUUCUUGUUGUGCUGAACUGGACAAUGAAAAAUAACUUUAAAUAUAUUACAAAGAUGAUGUACGGUGUUCAAUUAAAUUAUUUUGAACUAGAAAUACAUUAAACAAUUGAAACAUAGUCUCGAAACAAAUAUGAUAUAGAUAUAUAGUGUUCAUCAUAAUAUUUUAGUUGACAAGUAAGCGUUCUUGUCUCGUAAUAAAAUAUUUUUCUUCUUUUUGGCUUUGGUUUCCCAGUCAUUCCUAUAUAUAUAUAUAUAUAUAUAUAUAUAUAUAUUAAUAUUAUAACAUUUUUUUAUAAAAUCUUAGAACAGAGAGUAUGAUUCUAAGUUACCUGAUUAUUUUUUUCAAAUAAUCAGGGGAAAGGGCUGAGGAGAUAUAAUAUCCCAUAUUGUUUCAAUUUCGAUUCAGUUCUGCUCACAACUGCCUCUGUAAACGCUGUCCAUGUGAAUGAAGCCUGUUCAGAAGUCAUAGAUGAUUUUACUUAGCUAUGCGGUCUGAGGGUUACGGACGGACUACUAAUUUCCACUUCUGCCAAACAUGAUGUUGUAAAAGAUCAACAUUACGUAUUUCAAUAUUUAAGGCAUAAGUUAUCAAUAUUGUGUUUUACAUUUGCCAUCAGUCAAACAUUUUGUUGAAUGAAUGUGUGAUAAUAUUUUAUUUUAACUGUAUUUCAUAAUCACUAGUGAUUUUAUUAAAGUAUUGUUAUAACUUGAACAAACUUAUGGCCUACAUUAUAAAUGUGCUUGAACAUGGAUAUUUUUAUCUUCAAAAAAGUAUAAAAAGCUUCCUAUUCCAUGUAAUACCAACUUUAAUUGUUUUAUAUUAAUUCAGUAGUCAUAGAAUCUUUGUUCGUUUUUAUGGUCAUACGAACAACCCAGGUCUUUUUCUUUUCUUUUUGUUCUGGAUUAGCUUUAUAACAUUCGUUAGUUUAUGAUCUAAGCCAUUCCUAUGUUUAUGAAGUCUUGCAAUAAAAUCUCUGUUCACUCUUUUUCUAUAGCAAGCUUUGCUGUAAAUCUUUUUCAUUAUCCACUAUGUUGUGUUGAGGUUAUAUAAUAGAUUGUUCACCUGUGUUGAUGUAAUCCAUCCUUGCUCACUUGUGUGUUGCCAGGAGGUUGUGGGCCAUGUCUGCAUUGCCUUGUCCUUGUAUAUUAAAGUUUGAAACUUCCUUCAGUAAUAUUAGAUCUAUUGAAGCAUUUUAUUUCUCAUUCAACUGAUUAAGUUGAUAGUGUCAUUUUAGUUUCAUUUUGUCAUGUACUUAAAUAAUUACUAGUCUCUUUAGUAUCAAUCAUAUUAUUUUCAUGAGCAAAUCUGUCUUCCUCUUUUUUUCAUUAUCAUAACCUUUGGUCGCCCAAUGACGAAUGUCCAGGUCGAUAAUUUUUGUUAUAGUUGAGUGUCAUUGUCAUAUUUCUUGUGAUCGCGCAAUGAUGAAUGCUUGCUGUGAGAUAUGGUACUUCGAAUAUUGUUCAAAGCCUUUCCAUCUUUUCUGCUUUUCUUCCCACUGCCAUCGCCUACUCUGCCACUGCUUCUCUUCUUUCUCUUCAUUCCCUUUGUUGUUGUUGUUGCUGCUGCUGUUAUUAUUAUUAUUAUUAUUAUUAUUAUUUAGUAUUAUUGCUGGCGGCAAGUAGAGAUGAUGGAGGUUGUGGGUUUUUAGUGCCAAGAAUGGAUGUUGAAAGGCUUUUAUGCAUGUUGAAAAAGUAGUACCAAUUGGAGUUAUCUGAGCGCAAUCCUACUUUUAUCUGUUAUGCAUUCUUAGUGUAAUGGGUGUGGCAUUGGUCAAAUAUUGCCCCUGAGGUUUAGAUGAUUUAUAAAUAGUUAUGAGUUCCCUUGUUCUUCUUUAUGCCUUUUUUUCCUGAACUUUUAACUGAUUUGAUUGUUCAUGUGCAUCGUGAUGUCUUGUCAGUGAUGUAUUUUUUUUUUUUCUGAAGAGCUUCACAUCUAUAUUGUGAAUCUGUUUAGACGUGGUAAAUUUUUAAAGUUAUGUUCAGUGGUCGAGUUUGAUUAGCGGCUAUGGUGAUUCUUGUGCCCUUUCAUGUUCAUUUGUAUUGAUCGAUGAAGAUAUAAAAUGAUACAGUGCUUUUAACUCAACAAUGUCCUUGUUGAAAUAAUAUGGACCGGGAAAGGUGGUUUCGUUAAUGAACUUCAGCAACAGAUCCGGUUAUCGCUUAUUGUUAGUUGUGGCUAUAGAUUAGAAUAUAGAUACUGUUAAAUCUAGGAUGCUAAAGAGAUGUUUACUUUUCAGUGUUGUAAUAUUAUUUUUAAAGAAACAGAAACAAUAGCUGGUUAACUA